Molecule: ribosomal RNA, 216 nt
Filed under: Glomeromycotina sp.
Lineage: Eukaryota; Fungi; Glomeromycota
Description: partial small subunit ribosomal RNA
Rfam family: Eukaryotic small subunit ribosomal RNA (bases 40-216)
Source: RNAcentral
GGGUCAGUAGGUUGGUCGUGCCACCGGUACGUACUGGUCUCACUGAUUCCUCCUUCCUGAAGAACCGUAAUGCCAUUAAUUUGGUGUUGCGGGGAAACAGGACUGUUACUUUGAAAAAAUUAGAGUGUUUAAAGCAAGCUAACGCUUGAAUACAUUAGCAUGGAAUAAUGAAAUAGGACGAUCGAUCCUAUUUUGUUGGGUUCUAGGAUUGACGUA